AAAGUCGUAACAAGGUUUCCGUAGGUGAACCUGCGGAAGGAUCAUUAACAAAUUUUCCCAACCAAACACGUAUGUGAACUGUUAUCAAGUCCAUGGUGUGCCCCGUCCUAUUUUGCAUUGACUGCACUCCAGUCUCUAGCUUUAGGCGGACCAUCAUGCUUAUUUACGUAUGACUACAACUGAACUGAGACUUUAUUUUAAAUAAAGACAACUUUUAGCAACGGAUCUCUAGGCUCUC
RNAcentral lists this unclassified non-coding RNA (238 nucleotides) under Glomeromycotina sp. Its description in RNAcentral is "partial contains small subunit ribosomal RNA, internal transcribed spacer 1, and 5.8S ribosomal RNA". The stretch from base 1 to 47 matches the Rfam family "Eukaryotic small subunit ribosomal RNA", at positions 1785 to 1831 of the family's 1831-position model. Lineage: Eukaryota; Fungi; Glomeromycota. The record is from RNAcentral.